CCUACGGGAGGCAGCAGUCGGGAAUAUUGCGCAAUGGAGGAAACUCUGACGCAGUGAAGCCGCGUGCAGGAAGAAGGUCUUCGGAUUGUAAACUGCCUUAGACAGGGAAGAAACAAGACAGUACCUGUAGAAUAAGCUCCGGCUAACUACGUGCCAGCAGCCGCGGGACUACGUAGGGAGCAAGCGUUAUACGGAUUUUUUGGGUGUAAAGGGUGCGUAGGCGGGGAAGCAAGUUAGUUGUGAAAUCCCUCGGCUUAACUGAGGAACUGCAACUAAAACUACUUCCCUUGAGUACUGGAGAGGAAAGUGGAAUUCGUGGUGUAGCGGUGAAAUGCGUAGAUAUUAGGAGGAACACCAGUGGCGAAGGCGACUUUCUGGACAGUAACUGACGUUGAGGCACGAAAGUGUGGGGAGCAAACAGGAUUAGAUACCCGUGUAGUC
RNAcentral lists this ribosomal RNA (441 nucleotides) under uncultured bacterium. Its description in RNAcentral is "partial 16S ribosomal RNA". It matches the Rfam family "Bacterial small subunit ribosomal RNA", at positions 338 to 795 of the family's 1533-position model. The record is from RNAcentral.